RNAcentral lists this ribosomal RNA (461 nucleotides) under uncultured bacterium. RNAcentral's name for it is "SSU rRNA". It matches the Rfam family "Bacterial small subunit ribosomal RNA", at positions 26 to 518 of the family's 1533-position model. The record is from RNAcentral.
AGAAUCAACGCUGGCGGCGUGCCUAACACAUGCAAGUCGCACGAGAAAGGGACUUCGGUCCUGAGUACAGUGGCGCACGGGUGAGUAACACGUGAAUAAUCUACCUCCGAGUGGGGGAAUAACUGAGAGAAAUCUUAGCUAAUACCGCAUAACACUUACGAGUCAAAGCAGCAAUGCGCUUGGAGAGGAGUUCGCGGCAGAUUAGUUAGUUGGCGGGGUAAUGGCCCACCAAGACGAUGAUCUGUAUCCGGCCUGAGAAGGCGCACGGACACACUGGAACUGAAACACGGUCCAGACUCCUACGGGAGGCAGCAGUGGGGAAUUUUGCGCAAUGGGGGAAACCCUGACGCAGCAACGCCGCGUGGAGGAUGAAAUCCCUUGGGAUGUAAACUCCUUUCGAUAGGGAAGAUAAUGACGGUACCUAUAGAAGAAGCCCCGGCUAACUUCGCGCCAGCAGCCGC